UGACAGAAUAGUUUCUUCAGGCC
This 23-nucleotide non-coding RNA is filed under the name Mus musculus (house mouse). The record is from RNAcentral. Lineage: Eukaryota; Metazoa; Chordata; Mammalia; Rodentia; Muridae.